Molecule: long non-coding RNA, 2333 nt
Organism: Leopardus geoffroyi (Geoffroy's cat)
Lineage: Eukaryota; Metazoa; Chordata; Mammalia; Carnivora; Felidae
Exons: 2
Source: RefSeq, a predicted model, not a curated record
AGGGGGAGCAGGCGGCGGCCGGCACCCGGCGAGCUCCCCGGGGGGCCCGGCUCGGGGAGGGGGCCCCCCCCCCCGCACCCAGCCAGCUCCCCAGGCCUGGCCACGGAGUGAGCCCGUCCCGGUGACGCCCCGGGAGGCCGUGCCACCUCGGCCCGGAGCCCGGGCCCUGAAUCGGCCUUGUGUCCGAGCGGCCACCUGACCCCGGGGCCGUGCCACCUCUCCCGGCCUCGGUUUCCCCAGCCACAGGAGGCACAGGGAGGACGGCUCCUACCACUCAGGGCUGCCGGACGACGGAAUGAAAAACGCACACGUCGGGCCGAGCACCGGGCCGGGCAGCCGGCCGCCUUGCCCAGAGGGGCCGCGAGGCCGCCAUGAGGUCGGGUCCAGGCACGUCACCACACCCUCUGAGACCAUCGCAGACCCCUCGGCCCCACGAAAGCCAAUCCUGGCCACCACACGGGGCAAAGGCAAAGCGUGCCCGUGCUCCAGCCCUCAGACCUGGCCAGCGGGCCUGAGGGUUUUUAACGCCGUGCUCUCAUUCGGAGAUUUAUCAGACUCCGCUGGCCUCCGCCGAAGGCGGCCGGGCCACGUCCGUGCGGCCACUCUGUCUGCCCAAGUCUCUCCCUCGGCCCUUUACGUGGCCAGGCACCUGCCGUCCCUGUGCCUGGGGAGCCCCAGGGCUGUCAGGGUGAGAUGGGGGCUCCCCAGGCAGGGGGGUACAGCGUGGACUGACCGUGGCCGGGCCUGCCGCCUCGGCUCAUGGGCCUGCCGGCAGCGCCUGGGAGUAAGGGGCUGUCUGGACACCUGAGCAACCGGGGACGGGAGCUCAAGCUCAGAUCCGGUGGUGCCCAAGAAGGAGGUGGAGGGACGAGGCGACUGAGCAGGAAGGAAGCAGCCCAGGAGGAGCCCUCUGGUCCUCGGGCUCUGGUCUCACGCACACCGCCACGUGACCAGCUCGACAGCUGAUGCCAGAGACAAAGCAGGUCUACUCAGAGAACCCACCUCUCGGCCACGGACGGGGCCGCAGGCCCGGCCGCGUGUCCAAGGGUCCCACUACAGCGGCCACACGGCUUUCUGACCCAUUCGGAAUCCGAUGCAAACAAGCCUGCCAUCUGGAAUCUCACAGCAAGGACUGUCUCCCAGUCCAGCGUUGACUCCUGAAGCCGCCCCCACCGAGUGAAAGCUUAUGUUGGGAGGGUUUUCUGCCUCAUGCCACGCCAUUCCAGCGUUUCCCACUUAGAUUUUACCAAUCCCACCCACACGGCCUCAGAAGUUGUUUUGGUCACCCCCCCCCCAAAGAGAGAUCUCUUCAGAGCAUUUUGGGGGGUCAGGGUAAACAGACCACAGCUGAGCAGUCCCAGGAUUUAAAAAAUUAAAAAAAAAAAAAAGGGGAGGGGGAUGCAAAAGCAGUUUUAAAAAACGAAACUUCAUUUUUUGAAAGCCAAAUAUUAUCAUCUGCCAACAAAGACUCACGGGGGAAGGGGAAGCUUGGCAGGGAGCGGACUCUCAUCCCUCACCCGGACUGGGGCCACUCCCUCCCCUGUCCUCACCCGCUUCGAAGGGGCGUCCAGGCCGAGGACCCCCUCAGCUGGCAGGGAGCCCAGGCCGAUUAUCCCCCGCGGCCUUUCCAACGUCCCCCUAACGCCAGGAAGACGUUCUUAUUCCCGGCCCCAGGCGGAUCCGUUCCUCCGAGCCCCUAACUCGAGCCUGGGAGCCGGGCCUGGUUUCUCAGGGCGCCUUCCUGGCUGCGUCGAGGCUGGCGAUUUAGCAGGAACGGGGCUGGACCCUAUCCACAGAGCAGGAAGAGGGAGAUGACUACUGGAUAAGCGUCAGAGGGAAGUUCUGUUCAUUUUAGUAAUUCAGAAAACGUCCGUCCAGUGCUGACUCCGGGCCGGUUUGUCAGGAGUGACAAACACACCCUCUCCGGCCAGCGAGGGUACGUGAGGGUUAGCGUGCGGCUUACCCGUGGCAGGCCGGACUCCCUGACAGCCUGCGGACUCCUCCCGAGUUCAUCGGAGAAUGGAUUCUGGGAGGAGUAAAGGGCCCCAGAAAGUCACAAAUAUUACCCCAAAUCGCCCUCGAUGGCUUCCUCCUCCGGGAACGGACCCUUCCUCGAACAGUCCCGAUUUUCCUCACUUGCCCUGGACUACCCAUCACCUCCAGCAGACAAAGGCCCAACGGGGUCUAGCCCAAGGGAGGGUCCCUCCAGCCCCCACCAUCCAACACCCGGAAACCUGGCCGCCUUUCCGGUGCUUGCGGAUGUGCCCUCGCACCCUUGAGAAAGAGAUCACAGAAGGGAAAAAUUAAACUUGAGAAAGUUAGCCUCCACUCAA